CCUACGGGAGGCAGCAGUGGGGAAUAUUGCGCAAUGGGCGAAAGCCUGACGCAGCGACGCAGCGUGAGGGAUGAAGGUCCUCGGAUCGUAAACCUCUGUCAGCAGGGAAGUACGGUCACUGUGCUAAUCAGCAGUGAAUUGACGGUACCUGCAAAGGAAGCAUCGGCUAACUCCGUGCCAGCAGCCGCGGUAAUACGGAGGGUGCGAGCGUUAAUAGGAUUUAUUGGGCGGAAAGGGCUCGUGGGCGGUAUGUUAAGUCAAGUGUGAAAUCCCCGGGCUCAACGUGGGAACUGCCUGUGAAACUGGCAAACUGGAGUGUGGGAGAGGCUGGUGGAAUUCCUGGUGUAGGGGUGAAAUCCGUAGAUAUCUGGAAGAACAUCAGUGGCGAAGGCGACUAUCUGGCACAUAACUGACGCUGAGGAGCGAAAGCGUGGGUAGCAAACAGGAUUAGAUACCCCGGUAGUC
This 465-nucleotide ribosomal RNA is filed under the name uncultured bacterium. RNAcentral describes it as "partial 16S ribosomal RNA". It matches the Rfam family "Bacterial small subunit ribosomal RNA", at positions 338 to 795 of the family's 1533-position model. The record is from RNAcentral.